Molecule: ribosomal RNA, 253 nt
Filed under: uncultured bacterium
Lineage: Bacteria
Description: partial 16S ribosomal RNA
Rfam family: Bacterial small subunit ribosomal RNA
Source: RNAcentral
UACAGAGGGUGCAAGCGUUAAUCGGAAUUACUGGGCGUAAAGCGUGCGCAGGCGGUUUUGUAAGCCAGAUGUGAAAGCCCCGGGCUCAACCUGGGAAUGGCAUUUGGGACUGCAAGGCUGGAGUUUGGCAGAGGAGACUGGAAUUCCCGGUGUAGCAGUGAAAUGCGUAGAUAUCGGGAGGAAUACCGAUGGCGAAGGCAGGUCUCUGGGCUAUAACUGACGCUCAUGCACGAAAGCGUGGGGAGCAAACAGG